CUCUAAGUGGGAAGCAUGUAUCUGAGGCUCUGGGAUCCUUGAGAUGGCUAUCUUGACUCUCCAGCACCUACAGUAAUGUGAGGAAAGCCCUUCGUGGCCUCAGGCCCACUUCUGUUGCUACUGUUCUUGGGUAACCUUCCCACUGCUCCCAUCCUUUUCUUGAGGUCACUGUUUUCCAAUUGAAGUUCCAACGGGCAGCUUAUAUUGUAAGAACAAUAGAAAUAGUUUUCCAUAAAAAGUAACAGGCAGCAGCAGCAUUCUUCUCCCCUCCAUCCACACCCCUCCUAUGGCUUUAGAGUAAGAGACAGUCUCUUGACUGUCAGUGCUAGAACUGCUAGGGGUGAUUGGAUUGCCUGUGUGAAUGCAGAAUAUCACUUCCUUAUGAUGGAUCCACAAGAUAGUAGAUGGAGAUAAGCUUGUUCAUAAACU
This 429-nucleotide long non-coding RNA is filed under the name Bos taurus (domestic cattle). RNAcentral describes it as "long non-coding RNA NONBTAT023359". Lineage: Eukaryota; Metazoa; Chordata; Mammalia; Artiodactyla; Bovidae. The record is from RNAcentral.